UGACGGCGACCGGCGCACGGGUGAGUAACGCGUAUCCCACCUUCCGCUUACUCGGGGAUAGCCUUUCGAAAGAAAGAUUAAUACCCGAUGGUAUGAUGAGAUUGCAUGAUAUCAUCAUUAAAGAUUUAUCGGUAAGCGAUGGGGAUGCGUUCCAUUAGGUAGUAGGCGGGGUAACGGCCCACCUAGCCAACGAUGGAUAGGGGUUCUGAGAGGAAGGUCCCCCACAUUGGAACUGAGACGCGGUCCAAACUCCUACGGGAGGCAGCAGUGAGGAAUAUUGGUCAAUGGACGAGAGUCUGAACCAGCCAAGUAGCGUGAAGGAUGAAGGUCCUACGGAUUGUAAACUUCUUUUAUAAGGGAAUAAAACCUCCCACGUGUGGGAGCUUGUAUGUACCUUAUGAAUAAGCAUCGGCUAACUCCGUGCCAGCAGCCGCGGUAAUACGGAGGAUGCGAGCGUUAUCCGGAUUUAUUGGGUUUAAAGGGAGCGCAGACGGGUCGUUAAGUCAGCUGUGAAAGUUUGGGGCUCAACCUUAAAAUUGCAGUUGAUACUGGCGUCCUUGAGUGCGGUUGAGGUGUGCGGAAUUCGUGGUGUAGCGGUGAAAUGCUUAGAUAUCACGAAGAACUCCGAUUG
RNAcentral lists this ribosomal RNA (631 nucleotides) under uncultured Bacteroides sp. RNAcentral's name for it is "bacterial SSU rRNA". It matches the Rfam family "Bacterial small subunit ribosomal RNA", at positions 86 to 715 of the family's 1533-position model. The record is from RNAcentral. Lineage: Bacteria; Pseudomonadati; Bacteroidota; Bacteroidia; Bacteroidales; Bacteroidaceae.